CCCGCCUUAACUCAGCUUGGUAGAGUGCGCGGCUGUAGUAUGAUUUGCCGCAACCAGGCAAUUGCGCAGCUACCGCGAUGUCCCCGGUUCGAAUCCGGGAGGCGGGA
Molecule: transfer RNA, 107 nt
Filed under: hydrocarbon metagenome
Description: tRNA-Tyr
Rfam family: tRNA
About the family: Transfer RNA (tRNA) molecules are approximately 80 nucleotides in length. Their secondary structure includes four short double-helical elements and three loops (D, anti-codon, and T loops).
Source: RNAcentral